This 501-nucleotide ribosomal RNA is filed under the name uncultured bacterium. RNAcentral describes it as "bacterial SSU rRNA". It matches the Rfam family "Bacterial small subunit ribosomal RNA", at positions 337 to 830 of the family's 1533-position model. The record is from RNAcentral.
UCCUACGGGAGGCAGCAGUGGGGAAUUUUGGACAAUGGGCGCAAGCCUGAUCCAGCCAUGCCGCGUGCAGGAUGAAGGCCUUCGGGUUGUAAACUGCUUUUGUACGGAACGAAAAGACUCUGGAUAAUACCUGGGGUCCAUGACGGUACCGUAAGAAUAAGCACCGGCUAACUACGUGCCAGCAGCCGCGGUAAUACGUAGGGUGCAAGCGUUAAUCGGAAUUACUGGGCGUAAAGCGUGCGCAGGCGGUUAUGUAAGACAGAUGUGAAAUCCCCGGGCUCAACCUGGGAACUGCAUUUGUGACUGCAUAGCUAGAGUACGGCAGAGGGGGAUGGAAUUCCGCGUGUAGCAGUGAAAUGCGUAGAUAUGCGGAGGAACACCGAUGGCGAAGGCAAUCCCCUGGGCCUGUACUGACGCUCAUGCACGAAAGCGUGGGGAGCAAACAGGAUUAGAUACCCUGGUAGUCCACGCCCUAAACGAUGUCAACUGGUUGUUGGGAAU